AUUGAACGCUGGCGGCAGGCCUAACACAUGCAAGUCGAGCGAGCGGCGGACGGGUGAGUAAUGCCUGGGAAUUGCCCAGUCGAGGGGGAUAACAGUUGGAACCGACUGAUAAUACCGCAUACGUAUGGACUGCCCAGGGGGUAUUAGCGAGUUGGUGCGGGACUGGCUCACCAAGGGCACGAUCCCUAGCUGGUCUGAGAGGAGGAGCAGCCACACUGGAACUGAGACACGGUCCAGACUCCUACGGGAGGCAGCAGUGGGGAAUAUUGCACAAUGGGGGAAACCCUGAUGCAGCCAUGCCGCGUGUGUGAAGAAGGCCUUCGGGUUGUAAAGCACUUUCAGCGAGGAGGCGUUACUCGCAGAAGAAGCACCGGCUAACUCCGUGCCAGCCGCCGCGGUAAUAC
Molecule: ribosomal RNA, 404 nt
Filed under: uncultured bacterium
Lineage: Bacteria
Description: partial 16S ribosomal RNA
Rfam family: Bacterial small subunit ribosomal RNA
Source: RNAcentral